GACGAACGCUGGCGGCGUGCUUAACACAUGCAAGUCGAGCGGAAAGGCCCUUCGGGGUACUCGAGCGGCGAACGGGUGAGUAACACGUGAGUAACCUGCCCCUGACUCUGGGAUAAGCCUGGGAAACCGGGUCUAAUACCGGAUACGACCUCCUCCCGCAUGGGAUGGGGGUGGAAAGUUUUUCGGUUGGGGAUGGGCUCGCGGCCUAUCAGCUUGUUGGUGGGGUAGUGGCCUACCAAGGCGACGACGGGUAGCCGGCCUGAGAGGGCGACCGGCCACACUGGGACUGAGACACGGCCCAGACUCCUACGGGAGGCAGCAGUGGGGAAUAUUGCGCAAUGGGCGAAAGCCUGACGCAGCGACGCCGCGUGGGGGAUGACGGCCUUCGGGUUGUAAACCUCUUUCAGCAGGGACGAAGUUGACGUGUACCUGCAGAAGAAGCGCCGGCUAACUACGUGCCAGCAGCCGCC
This 470-nucleotide ribosomal RNA is filed under the name uncultured bacterium. RNAcentral's name for it is "bacterial SSU rRNA". It matches the Rfam family "Bacterial small subunit ribosomal RNA", at positions 28 to 519 of the family's 1533-position model. The record is from RNAcentral.